ACUCCUAUUGUUGGUAGAAUUAUUUUGGUGCGUCCACAUUUGUAUCAUUUGCGCGAUCAGAUCUCCGAUCAGAUCUCCUUCGCGAUCAUCGCGCCUUAUCAAGUAUGCGUAUUAUAGUGUGGACGCC
Aricia agestis (brown argus) is the source of this 127-nucleotide long non-coding RNA. RefSeq lists it as uncharacterized. The transcript is spliced from 4 exons. The record is from RefSeq and is a predicted model, not a curated record. Lineage: Eukaryota; Metazoa; Arthropoda; Insecta; Lepidoptera; Lycaenidae.